Molecule: ribosomal RNA, 244 nt
Filed under: uncultured bacterium
Lineage: Bacteria
Description: partial 16S ribosomal RNA
Rfam family: Bacterial small subunit ribosomal RNA
Source: RNAcentral
UGGCGACCGGCGCACGGGUGAGUAACACGUAUCCAACCUGCCGAUGACUCGGGGAUAGCCUUUCGAAAGAAAGAUUAAUACCCGAUGGCAUAGUUCUUCCGCAUGGUGGAACUAUUAAAGAAUUUCGGUCAUCGAUGGGGAUGCGUUCCAUUAGGUUGUUGGCGGGGUAACGGCCCACCAAGCCUUCGAUGGAUAGGGGCUCUGAGAGGAAGGUCCCCCACAUUGGAACUGAGACACGGUCCAA